Molecule: ribosomal RNA, 363 nt
Filed under: uncultured bacterium
Lineage: Bacteria
Description: partial 16S ribosomal RNA
Rfam family: Bacterial small subunit ribosomal RNA
Source: RNAcentral
UGGGGAAUUUUGGACAAUGGGGGAAACCCUGAUCCAGCCAUCCCGCGUGUGCGAUGAAGGCCUUCGGGUUGUAAAGCACUUUUGGCAGGAAAGAAACGUCGCGGGUUAAUACCCCGCGGAACUGACGGUACCUGCAGAAUAAGCACCGGCUAACUACGUGCCAGCAGCCGCGGUAAUACGUAGGGUGCAAGCGUUAAUCGGAAUUACUGGGCGUAAAGCGUGCGCAGGCGGUUCGGAAAGAAAGAUGUGAAAUCCCAGAGCUUAACUUUGGAACUGCAUUUUUAACUACCGGGCUAGAGUGUGUCAGAGGGAGGUGGAAUUCCGCGUGUAGCAGUGAAAUGCGUAGAUAUGCGGAGGAACACC